GACGAACGCUGGCGGCGUGCCUAAUACAUGCAAGUAGAACGCACAGUUUAUACCGUAGCUUGCUACACCAUAAACUGUGAGUUGCGAACGGGUGAGUAACGCGUAGGUAACCUGCCUGGUAGCGGGGGAUAACUAUUGGAAACGAUAGCUAAUACCGCAUAAUAUUGAUUAUUGCAUGAUAAUUGAUUGAAAGAUGCUAUUGCAUCACUACCAGAUGGACCUGCGUUGUAUUAGCUAGUAGGUGAGGUAACGGCUCACCUAGGCGACGAUACAUAGCCGACCUGAGAGGGUGAUCGGCCACACUGGGGCUGAGACACGGCCCAGACUCCUACGGGAGGCAGCAGUAGGGAAUCUUCGGCAAUGGACGAAAGUCUGACCGAGCAACGCCGCGUGAGUGAAGAAGGUUGUCGGAUCGUAAAGCUCUGUUGUAAGAGAAGAACGGGUGUGAGAGUGGAAAGUUCACACUGUGACGGUAUCUUACCAGAAAGGGACGGCUAACUACGUG
RNAcentral lists this ribosomal RNA (505 nucleotides) under uncultured bacterium. RNAcentral describes it as "partial 16S ribosomal RNA". It matches the Rfam family "Bacterial small subunit ribosomal RNA", at positions 28 to 507 of the family's 1533-position model. The record is from RNAcentral.